Molecule: ribosomal RNA, 465 nt
Filed under: Vreelandella stevensii
Lineage: Bacteria; Pseudomonadati; Pseudomonadota; Gammaproteobacteria; Oceanospirillales; Halomonadaceae
Description: partial 16S ribosomal RNA
Rfam family: Bacterial small subunit ribosomal RNA
Source: RNAcentral
CCUACGGGGGGCAGCAGUGGGGAAUAUUGGACAAUGGGGGGAACCCUGAUCCAGCCACGCCGCGUGUGUGAAGAAGGCCCUCGGGUUGUAAAGCACUUUCAGUGAGGAAGAACGCCUGGUGGUUAAUACCCAUCAGGAAAGACAUCACUCACAGAAGAAGCACCGGCUAACUCCGUGCCAGCAGCCGCGGUAAUACGGAGGGUGCGAGCGUUAAUCGGAAUUACUGGGCGUAAAGCGCGCGUAGGUGGCUUGAUAAGCCGGUUGUGAAAGCCCCGGGCUCAACCUGGGAACGGCAUCCGGAACUGUCAAGCUAGAGUGCAGGAGAGGAAGGUAGAAUUCCCGGUGUAGCGGUGAAAUGCGUAGAGAUCGGGAGGAAUACCAGUGGCGAAGGCGGCCUUCUGGACUGACACUGACACUGAGGUGCGAAAGCGUGGGUAGCAAACAGGAUUAGAUACCCUAGUAGUC